Molecule: long non-coding RNA, 1247 nt
Organism: Alligator sinensis (Chinese alligator)
Lineage: Eukaryota; Metazoa; Chordata; Crocodylia; Alligatoridae
Exons: 3
Source: RefSeq, a predicted model, not a curated record
AUACAUGGGCAGAGGUCUGGAGGAGAGCCUGCAGGGGAGAAAGCACAUACCUGCAGAGGCGGUGUGGAGGAACACAGGACAUUGGACACACGAUGGGAGCAUUAGGAGAUGAAUAAGAAGACGGAAGUGAAGAUAGGAACAGGAAACGGAAGAGGAGGGGAGGAAAGAAGAGUUCCUGUUUGAGCAGUCGAGCAGAGGCCUAACAGACUGGAGAAGAGCAACCCCAGCUCUCCUGCUGCAGGCAAAGCUGCCUGAGAGCUCUGCAUUAAAGAUGGAUCCCAACACUGUCAUCAAUCCCAAACCACAUGCACAUAGGGGUAGGCAAAGGGGUGGGAACAUAAGCUCGACAGACACCCUCCUGGACUGGGUGAGAGUCAGAGGACCAGCUCCUUCGCUGGACAGUCAGGGCUUGCUUUGGCAUCUAUUGGCAUCAGUGCCAAAAUCUCACUGUCUUUAAGCUCUAGCUUGAAGGAUUUCUAUGGCAGAGGCUGCUGUGAACCCAGUAGAUCAGGGCAGUGGGUUUAUAUAGCAUUGCCUGCAUUGCACCUGCAGCUGAGUAGCCUGGAAGGCUUAAUUGCACAGGGUCUGGGGCGGGCAUUUGAGGGUGUUGAGUGGCUCUGCGUUCCCAAGCUGUCUCCUGUGCCUGAAGGCCAGGGGAAGGUGGCCGGCUCACAGGGCACAUGGUAUGGGAGGUGAUGCAGUGUGUUUUCAGGCUGGGGAAAUCUGUGUGGCCCUUACAAAUAAAGACCGGGCUGUGAGGGCUGAGAGUUUGAGGUAUACCUGUACUGUGAAAGGGCUGUGGAGGGCUCUAUGCCGCAAUGUGAUGGGGAGUCGACCCCUCCAAAAGAUCCCUGUGGCAGGGGAGACUUAGACCCAGAUCCCUAUUGCUGUGCCUUGCAAUCUGGCUUUGCUAUCCUGGCCCCUGUAACUGGGCCCCUCUGCCCCCUACUAGAGGCCUUUCAUGCCCAGGGUCCAGGUCGCUUCUGGCUCUGCUGGCUUUUAACAUUUAAACAUUUAAACUGAAAAAAAGCCCUUUAUUUUUCCCCUCCCUCCCCAAAUGCACAGUAAUCCAUUGUCAGUCCCCUCCACCUUCUCCUGAAACCUGCCCUCCUUCAUCAUCUUCCCCAUCCCAGAAACUUGGAAUAACUUUCUUGGUAGACAAUGGGGCUCUUUUUGGAAGUCUCUCCCCUCGCCCCUCCAACCAUCCUGUAGACAGAAAUGUCUUUACUGUCUAUAGGGAGGUUUAA